UGGGGAAUAUUGCACAAUGGGCGCAAGCCUGAUGCAGCCAUGCCGCGUGUAUGAAGAAGGCCUUCGGGUUGUAAAGUACUUUCAGCGAGGAGGAAGGCGUUGUGGUUAAUAACCGCAGCGAUUGACGUUACUCGCAGAAGAAGCACCGGCUAACUCCGUGCCAGCAGCCGCGGUAAUACGGAGGGUGCAAGCGUUAAUCGGAAUUACUGGGCGUAAAGCGCACGCAGGCGGUCUGUCAAGUCGGAUGUGAAAUCCCCGGGCUCAACCUGGGAACUGCAUCCGAAACUGGCAGGCUAGAGUCUUGUAGAGGGGGGUAGAAUUCCAGGUGUAGUGGUGAAAUGCGUAGAGAUCUGGAGGAAUACCGGUGGCGAAGGCGGCCCCCUGGACAAAGACUGACGCUCAGGUGCGAAAGCGUGGGGAGCAAACA
Molecule: ribosomal RNA, 427 nt
Filed under: uncultured bacterium
Lineage: Bacteria
Description: partial 16S ribosomal RNA
Rfam family: Bacterial small subunit ribosomal RNA
Source: RNAcentral